This is a long non-coding RNA of Solea senegalensis (Senegalese sole), 1532 nucleotides long. RefSeq lists it as uncharacterized. NCBI's taxonomy places the organism in Eukaryota, Metazoa, Chordata, Actinopteri, Pleuronectiformes, Soleidae. The transcript has 3 exons. The record is from RefSeq and is a predicted model, not a curated record.
CUUUGCUCUGAGAUGCACUCCCUGCCCUAUCAAUGUUACUUAAUAACAAGUCUCUGUGUCCUGAUCUGUGCAGACACACAGAACACCACAGCACUUCUGCUUUAUUCUCGUCUCUCAUGGUUGUUUACUACUUGAUUUAUGCAUAACAUCAAUCCAACAGAAGUAUUCAAUAAGAUGUGUCCAUUUUGAAAAAGAGGAAUUACAAUUGUUUGGCAUUCAUGACACAAGAUGCUGAAAAUAUUCAACUAUUUCAACACCAUGACCUUUUCUCUUCUUAACCCUGUGUUAAAACAAUGAGUGACCAUGUGCUGACCAUUUAAUCAAUAACAGUCGGAGGUAAGGUGACACACACACACACACACACACACACACACACACCAAGAAUAAAGCACUUCAGUGAGAACGUGUAGCUCCAGCUCUGUGUGCGCCUGUUAUUUUUUAUUAUCUUGUGUAAUAAUCAGCAUGAGAUGAAACUGCAGAUGCAACAAAGCAAAACAACAAACGCUUUGUUUUUUCAGCUGUGAAACUCUGCUCCAGGAUCAUCUCAGGGAAUAGUUUUCUUUUCAUUUUAUUAAGAGUUCAAAACUGACUGAAAGGACAUUUGGAUGUGUUUGGAGCUGUGGGCGGAGCCUAAUGCAGAAAGCCUUUUAAACAGCGAAACGACUGAGCUGUGAGUUUUCCUCUUGAACACAGCAGAGAGCAGCGCUGUCCAUCUCACUGUUCUCUGGAGAAACGGCUGCAGAAAGAACUGUGCUUUAGUGAUUAGACUCAAGCUGUUCAAUGUUUGAUUUUUACUUCCUGUGUUUUUCCUGCCUUGAUGUCGUUCACCUGCACCUUAUGAGUUCCACCUGUGUAUAAAUCUCCCUGCCUCACCAGAGUCUUUGCCAGUCCCAGGUUAUUAGGUUCAGACUGUAGCUGUUUAUACCGCUGCAGUUGCUGAGAUGAGCUCAGAUGACCUUGGAGGCCUGAGAUCGUAUGACACCAGUAAAGGCUAUGUGCCUUAUGGUCAGAAAGGACGGCCACAGAGAGUCAUGGAGAGGUUUAAUGUUUCAACACACUGAAGGAACUGCAGCAUCGCAGCAGCGUGCAGAGGAGCCCGGCUGAAGUUUAAAUGUCAGGACUCGUAACUCUCACAUCCCACACGCCAGAACGUGGCGUGUGGGAUGUACAAGUCAACUUAAUGCCAUAAGUGCACCUAUAGUAGGUGUUUAUACAGAGCCUGAACUAGAAGUCGUCAUCCGGCUGAAAAUGAUGUCAUGUUUUACAUCAGAGGUUAUUCUACACGUGUACUGUAAGGGAUUUUACAUCUACUGGACUUCUGUAUGUCACAUGAGUCAAACUCCAGUCAAAAAAGAAAUAAAAAAAAAAAGAAAGCACAAGUCUGGAGGACAUUAAGCUCAAUACUUUGCAUCAUGUUUAAAGUUCCAACACGACAUGAUAAUGAAAACACUGAGGACAGAGUAACGGAAUUAUUGACAGGUGUUCGAGUGGUACCUUGAUAUUCAUGGUAAAUAAAUCAGUGGUGAGUUGAA